AACGAACGCUGGCGGCAUGCCUAACACAUGCAAGUCGAACGAACCCUUCGGGGUUAGUGGCGCACGGGUGCGUAACGCGUGGGAAUCUGCCCUUGGGUUCGGAAUAACAGUUAGAAAUGACUGCUAAUACCGGAUGAUGUCUUCGGACCAAAGAUUUAUCGCCCAGGGAUGAGCCCGCGUAGGAUUAGGUAGUUGGUGGGGUAAAGGCCUACCAAGCCGACGAUCCUUAGCUGGUCUGAGAGGAUGAUCAGCCACACUGGGACUGAGACACGGCCCAGACUCCUACGGGAGGCAGCAGUGGGGAAUAUUGGACAAUGGGCGCAAGCCUGAUCCAGCAAUGCCGCGUGAGUGAUGAAGGCC
Molecule: ribosomal RNA, 360 nt
Filed under: uncultured bacterium
Lineage: Bacteria
Description: bacterial SSU rRNA
Rfam family: Bacterial small subunit ribosomal RNA
Source: RNAcentral